UCCUACCUACGGGGCGCAGCAGUGGGGAAUAUUGCACAAUGGGGGAAACCCUGAUGCAGCAACGCCGCGUGAGUGAAGAAGUAUUUCGGUAUGUAAAGCUCUAUCAGCAGGGAAGAAGAUGACGGUACCUGAGUAAGAAGCCCCGGCUAACUACGUGCCAGCAGCCGCGGUAAUACGUAGGGGGCAAGCGUUAUCCGGAUUUACUGGGUGUAAAGGGAGCGCAGGCGGCGCGGUAAGUCUGAUGUGAAAGCCCGGGGCUCAACCCCGGGACUGCAUUGGAAACUGUCGUGCUGGAGUGUCGGAGG
RNAcentral lists this ribosomal RNA (305 nucleotides) under uncultured bacterium. Its description in RNAcentral is "bacterial SSU rRNA". It matches the Rfam family "Bacterial small subunit ribosomal RNA", at positions 331 to 655 of the family's 1533-position model. The record is from RNAcentral.